This 164-nucleotide ribosomal RNA is filed under the name uncultured bacterium. Its description in RNAcentral is "partial 16S rRNA". It matches the Rfam family "Bacterial small subunit ribosomal RNA", at positions 355 to 511 of the family's 1533-position model. The record is from RNAcentral.
UAGGGAAUCUUCCACAAUGGGCGAAAGCCUGAUGGAGCAACGCCGCGUGUGUGAUGAAGGGUUUCGGCUCGUAAACACUGUUGUAAGAGAAGAACGUGUGUGAGAGUGGAAAGUUCACACAGUGACGGUAACUUACCAGAAAGGGACGGCUAACUACGUACCAC